This 973-nucleotide unclassified non-coding RNA is filed under the name Nilaparvata lugens (brown planthopper). Its description in RNAcentral is "uncharacterized LOC111045582, transcript variant X1". The record is from RNAcentral. Lineage: Eukaryota; Metazoa; Arthropoda; Insecta; Hemiptera; Delphacidae.
AUUGUUUUCUAGUGGUGAUUUGUUGAACACUGUAACUUAAUGACUAAUUGGCUCAUCGACGAUGUGUCUUUUAUUUCGGAUUAUACCCACAUAAGCUUUACGCUUAUGAACAAUGGAUGAAAUGAUGAUGAGGUGAUUAAACAACCGCCAACACAACCUGCCUACCGGCGGGAUUCGGACCCACGACCAGGCAGCGCCAGCAGACAGAAGGUUGCAACGCCUCAGUCAACUUAGCUGUUUUUCAAAUCAUCAAAUUAUACCAUUUCCCGUGAUGGACUCAGCCAUACUUGAAAUCACAGAUUUUAUACUAUUUUGCGUCUUGCCAGUAUUUUCGUGAACGACCAGGCCAAAAAUAUUCAACUUCAGAGAAGGUACUGAGGACUGAGAGACUGAAAAUCAAAGAUUCUGAUGACAAAAUUUCUUUGAAGAAUUUGGAAAACACAAACAACAUCAAUGCUUUUUUGGAAUGCAUGUCAUGUAUUGCAAUAGCAAAAGAAUUGAGCAAGGCUAUAUGCCUGCACAAUGAAAGAUUUGAAAAGGUUUCACAUAUGAGGAGAGAUGAUGUUCCAUGUUUUCUUGAUUUAGAGGAUGUUUGCACUCAUAACUUUAUUGGAUUUGAUCUUCAAGACAAAAAAUCCAUUAGAGUAUUAGCGCCUUCAAGUUUUAAUGGCAGACAUGUACCGGUGCAAAAUAUAAACUGGAAUAAAAAGUAACAUCAAUUUUCUACUUCGAAAUUGGAGGAGUUGUGCCUUGUCUAUGUGUCACAUUAUGGAAUAGAAAACAUUCACCAGGAACUAAUCACAAAUUCAGAUUCAGGCCUAAUUGAUGAACUUUGCAAGUAAAUCAUUUUCUAUCUAAUCAAUUUGGGAUAGAUUGAUGAUUAAAAAUAUUUGUUUCUUGGUUUUCUGUUAAUUGAGUGAAUGCAUACUAAAACUAACCAAACUACUUUUUGAAAGUUCUCAAAAUCUUGGUG